UGUUUCUCGGCGCGCAAAGCUAUAAAUAAUGGCACAGAUCAUUAAACCCCGAGAGCAGGCCCAGCCGCCCCGCAAACAAGAUGAAGUGCAAACCACCACGUGAAAGAGAGAGCGGGAGGUACAAGGGAGAGACCCAGGCCCAGGGCCAUUAGGCCCCAGCCUGCACCCCUCAACCCAGGCCCAGUGAACUUGGGCCUCCAAGGAUCAGAGAUGACCUACCAUCCAAGACCCACCCAUGAUAGAACCAGAACAAAUAAAGAAGUGGGUGCUCAAGUGCCUUCCUCUUGUCACCUGAGGCUUCCAUCUGCUUCUACCCUCUGAAGGAUCUCAU
RNAcentral lists this long non-coding RNA (331 nucleotides) under Cricetulus griseus (Chinese hamster). RNAcentral's name for it is "lncRNA (ENSCGRG00015043394.1)". The record is from RNAcentral. Lineage: Eukaryota; Metazoa; Chordata; Mammalia; Rodentia; Cricetidae.